GUGCUCACUUUGGCAGCACAUAUGCUAAAAUCGGAAUGAUACAGAGAAGAUUAGCCUGGCCCCUGCACAAAGAUGACAUGGAAAUUCUUGAAGUAUCCCAUAUUUGG
RNAcentral lists this small nuclear RNA (107 nucleotides) under Bos taurus (domestic cattle). Lineage: Eukaryota; Metazoa; Chordata; Mammalia; Artiodactyla; Bovidae. The record is from RNAcentral.